UGCAGACGUGACUUGGAUCCUGCAUGGUUGUGGCUGUGGUGUAGGCCGGCAGCUGGGGCUUGGAUUGGACCCCUACCUGGGAACCUCCAUAUGCCUCGGGUGCGGCCCUAAAAAGAAAAAGAACCUAACAAAGUAGGAGACCCUCAUUAUACAGAAACCUGAGAUGAUUCAACAUGUUUUAACAUUGUUAUCACCCUUCUGCUGAUUUGAAUAAGUGCCAAUGACAGUCCUAGUUUGACCUCAUAGGGUCAAAUACUCUCUUAUGGGAUACGAAGGAGGAGCUAAUGAUGUAAGCCUUGAAGAAAAAAGAAUGAGGAAGAAGUCUGUUUUUUCCCCUCUUCCCCUGGAUUAUAAAAAUGUUGCCCACCUAAUCCUUGGGGCAGAACUACUUUGCCUGCCUGCAUAUCUCUCACAAGCAUCCUAUCUUAAUAAAUCUAUUUCUUGCCUAUCACUUUGUCUCUUGUUGAACUACUUCUGUGCUGAGACAAAAACAGCUUGAACCUCAGUAAGUCCAGAAACCAGAUAAGUGAUUCUAAUUUAAAAACAAACAUGGGUUCAAGUCACAAUUUGGGUUUUGGAUGAGUUCAAGUCAGAAGUAUUAUUGGUAUCAUAAGAGGAAAGGAGCCAAAGAGGUAAUUUCAAGUGCCUGGUACAUAGUAGGUAUUGAGUACAUGUUAAAUCAAUUACUUUAAGGAAGGCCAAAAGCAGUGUCCUCAAGUCGCAGGUAUUUUUGCCUUUGGGCAAGUCAUUCACCCUCUCUAGGCCUUAGUUUUCUUGUCUAUGGAAUUGAAGUUAUCAUUGGAUUAUUGUGCCAUUUAAAUAAGACCAGGUCAUGGGAUUUCUGUAAAUCGCCAGAACCAGCAGCUGCAGUUGCUGCUAUAAAGAUGGUGGUGGCGGUGGUGAUGAGAAAGGAGCAGGGAAGAAAAUCAGGAUCCAGAAAUUCCAGAACUGUACCAGUUCAAACAAGGAACUCUCAGGAAGUCCAGACAAUGUGCAGAAUUUCCAGGACUCCUGUGUCUUCAUUUGUUAUCGCUGGAACACUUCCUAUGUACCAUUAGAGUUCCCAUUGUGGCUCAGCAGGUUAAGAACCCGGCUAGUAUCCAUGAGGAUGUGGUUUGAUCCCUGGCCUUGCUCAGUGGGUUAGGGAUUUGGUGUUGCUGGGCGCUGCUCCGUGUAAGUCAAAGACUGGGCUUGGAUCUGACAUUGCGUGGCUGUGGUGAAGGCUGGCUGCUGCAGCUCCAAUUUGACCCCUAGCCUGAGAACUUCCAUAUGCUGCAGAUGCAGCACUAAAAAGAGAGAGAGAUGGAGUUCUCGUCGCAGCUCAGUGGUUAAUGAAUCCGACUAGGAACCAUGAGGUUGUGGGUUCGAUCCCUGGCCUUGCUAAGUGGGUUAAGGAUCUGGUGUUGCCAUGAGCUGUGGUGUAGGUCGAAGACGCGGCUUGGAUCUGGUGUAGGCCGGCAGCUACAGCUCCGAUUCGACCCCUAGCCUGGAAACCUCCAUAUGCCGUGGGAGCGGCCCAAGAAAUGGCAAAAAGACAAAAAAAAAAAAAAAAAAAAGAGAGAGAGAGAGAGAGAUAGGUGACCUGACUUCCCCAAGGGAAAUACAGCUACACAGUGGCUGAGGCAGGAUUUGAACUUAGAUCUGUGUUGUUCUAAAAUCCUUGUUCUUUCUGCUUUCAAAUUCCACAGCUUCUUCAGUUUUCUCUUGACUCACCAGAACAUUUAUCGAGCAUCAACUAAGUGCUUGGCCUUCCUCAGGGGCAGGGGCUACAAGACCAUCUAAGGCUAUUUCCAGGUCAAGCUAGGACUUCAGUUGAGGUCCUCAUUGAGGCAGACAACUCAAAUGACAUUUACAAUUCAGCGUGAUGAGCUCUAGAAGAGUGUGCCAUUGUCUUGGGCUUACCUUUCUCUAUGGUCUGUGGACUCCAGGUACAUCUCAACCUCGCCAAGUGGUUUCCUUCAAAUCCACCUCCGUGGGGUGGAGGGUGUUUUUCAGUGGCAACCAAACAGUAAUCAACAAUGUUCUCCAAAAGAGAUCCCUUCUGUGGAGUUCCCUACUGGCUCAUCAGGUUAAGGAUCUGGCAUUGUCACUGCUGUGGCAUGGGUUCGAUCCCUGGCCUGGGAACUUCCACAUGCUCUGGGUGCAGCACCCCUCCCCCCACCAAAAAUCCCUCCCCACCAGGCUCUCCUCUCUCCAUCUGUCUCUGUCUCUGUCUCUGUCUCUCUCUCUCACACACACACACACACACACCACACACACACACACACGCACGCACUCCAUGAUGACGGGAGAUGGGUGAUGGCAUAACGCUGGUAGAACCGGUUUCUCCAUCCUUGGCAUGCCCUACUUGGGUGAUCCAUGGUUCAUGGCAUUUGUUACCUCUGCCAAAAUGACAGGAAGCUUGCAUUUAAGAUCCUGUCACACAUUCAUUAAAAAGAAAUCAGGAAGGAAAGCCACUCAAUCAAUAGGGAUUAUCUCUGUGUGGUGAAGUUAGUUAUGUGUAAUCUCUAUUUUCUUCUUUUUACUUAUUUACUUAAAUUUUUUUUCUAACACGGAUUUAUGACUUUCGUAACUAGCAAAACUGUGCUAAAAGUUAUCUGUGGCCUCACAGGUGUGGGAGAAGAUCUAUUAGAAGCAAUCUCAGAAGAGCCUUUGUUCUAAGCACGGCAGGGACUGGACAAAACAGCCGUCGGGGGUGGGGAAGUGAGAGGUCAUCAAGGAUUAAAAGCAAGACCAGGAGUUCCCAUUGUGGUUCAACGGAAAGGAAUCUGACUAGUAACCAUGAGGUUGGGGGUUCGAUCCCUGGCCUGGCUCAGUGGGUUAAGGAUCUGGCAUUGCUGUGAGCUGUGGUGUAGGUCGCAGAUGAGUCAGAUCCUGUGUUGCUAUGGCUGUGGUGUAGGCCAGCAGCUACAGCUCCAAUUCAACCUCUAGCCUGGGAAUCUCCAUAUGCCCUGAGUGUGGCC
RNAcentral lists this long non-coding RNA (2963 nucleotides) under Sus scrofa (pig). RNAcentral describes it as "lncRNA (ENSSSCG00000058991.1)". Lineage: Eukaryota; Metazoa; Chordata; Mammalia; Artiodactyla; Suidae. The record is from RNAcentral.